RNAcentral lists this long non-coding RNA (490 nucleotides) under Helianthus annuus (common sunflower). The record is from RNAcentral. Lineage: Eukaryota; Viridiplantae; Streptophyta; Magnoliopsida; Asterales; Asteraceae.
AGAAGGGGAGGUUGUGAACGGUUAUCCUCUCCUUCAAUUUCUCCCCACGUCGCCCGUCAGACCCCCUCUCAUCCUCUUUCCCUGCUCAAAAACCAUUCAACGUUUCCCCAAUAUGAAUAUCGAUUUCGGUUCCACAAGCACAUGAGCCUAUUCCAAAUCCAACCAAUCUUAUAAUCCAUUCGAGUGGUGUGAUUUCAUCAGAUUUUUUAUGGGAUUUCAUCAACAAUCAGAUUGGUAUUGCCUACGAUUUCAUCCAGUAGGAGAAUAAUGAAAGCCGGUAGUGAAUUUGUUCAAUCUAAUUCGACGGCGGCGGUGGCCUCGAAAUCGAUGACUAUUAAGUUUCGUUGAAUUAUUGGGUUUUUUUCAUCGAUCAAUAUGUCUCGCUUAUGUAUUCAUCAUAGUUAUUGGUUAUAUCUUCAUCAUGAUGGAGCUUCAAACAUCAUCCACUACUGAAAAGAGGCGGGACAAAAUGCAAGUCCAUUAAAAUCAG